Long non-coding RNA from Dreissena polymorpha, 911 nucleotides. RefSeq lists it as uncharacterized. NCBI's taxonomy places the organism in Eukaryota, Metazoa, Mollusca, Bivalvia, Myida, Dreissenidae. The transcript has 3 exons. The record is from RefSeq and is a predicted model, not a curated record.
AUAUUGAAAUAUAUUGUCUGUGAUAAGCAUGAAAUGGAUAUAUUUCAUGAAUGUCUGAGAGUGUUUUUAGAUUAACAGCAAAAAAUGAGAAAUAUAGAUAAUUUGGAUCUUAAGUAGGGAAAUGAUUACAAAUAUGUUAAUUGGGAUCUAAAAUAAAGUGUUUGCAAUGAGAUGUUCACACAUGUGACCACGUUGCAGAUAUUAUAGCUAACAUAGAGUUAGUGUCAUACAAGGUAAUGGAUGUUACACGUGACAUGUCAUCUAACAUGGUAGGUUAUUUUUAAUGUUUCUCAAAAUCAAUAUUUGCAUGUUUAUCUCUUAUAUGCAAAUCUGUGUGCAUAUCUAAAUUGAUUGAUUUCUACUGAAUUUCAAUUAUCCACGUGUAUGUGAACAUUCUAGGAUAUUAAACGAGAAGUGGUAGAAGUCGCUGUUUGAAUUGAAAACAUUGAGAGCGGUUAAGCAAAUUACUGACUGAACUAAAUUGUCAGUAUAAUGUUAAGCAAAAUGAGGACUAUACUGUAGUGAAAAAUGUCUUUCAGGGAGUAUUGUGUAAAAAUCAAUUUGUAUUUAAUACAAUGUGGAAAUGAACAAUAAGUUUUUUGCAAAAGAGGUUCAAAGUGGCUGGUUUAACUGUGAUUUGGUCUCAUCAAAUUCCUGUGUUUUUGGAAUAGUCUGCAGAACAGCAUAAAAGAUUAUGUCAUGGAAUUGGGGAGAAAGGUUGCUGGUGGCAUAACAUUUCCCAUCUCGGACCUGACGAAAGGCGCAUCACAAAUUGAGGAAUUCGUUAGAAAGAAAGCACUGUUGAAAAAAAUCAUCUUGUGAAAAAAUGAACUUUUUUUUAUAUUUGCUCUGUGUGCCUCGCCCGGAUGAUGAGCACAAAGCGGUCCUUGACAAAGGAAAGCUGGAUUUGU